GUUUGUGCACAGGGUGUUGCCCCUUUUGCUGCUGAAACCCUGAGACUGCCAUGUAAAGAAGCUUGAACUAGCCUACUAGAGGAUGAGACGCCACAUGGAGAAUGCCCCCAGCUAUUCCAGCUAAGGUCUCAGAGAUGUGAGUAAAGCCAUCCUGGGCCGUCUUGAGGGACCAUAUAGAGGGAGGCCUCAGCCAUCCACCCAUCCUUGUCAGCUGCCAGACAUGUGAGUGAGACCGUCUGAGAUCCAUCAGCCCCGGACCUAGAAUCGGCCAUUUCUCUGAGGAGUCCUGGGGAUGCACUGAAGCACACAAUCUGGGCUCCCAAACAGAUCCUGAGAUGACAUUGCUGACAGGCCACUCUGCUUAUUGAGAUGUAAUCUGGAGCCUGCAACGCCUUCUGCCGUCCUCAAACCCCUGGUUCUAGUCUUUGUUCUCAAGUCUGCUCACCGUGGUUCUCACUCAAGACGCAACCCUCUCCUGUGUUUGACCAUUUGGUGGGUUUGCAGCUUGUAGUACAUUUCAGAACUCCCCUUCCUUCCUGUUGCACCAUUGUGGAUUUCACGCCAGUUUCUGCUACCUUUGGGUUUGGGGUUUUCUGUCUCCUGAAGAUGUUGUCCAUGAGUUUAGACUUUUGCUCUCCCUGUUGUGCGCCCUGCUUUUCAGAAGCUAAAGUAGAAAGGCUACAACCUGAGCUGCCAUCAAUCCCUCUACUCAAUCUUCACUCCAAACAAAGGUUGGGCCAGUGAGCAGGUUGAUCAGAAGGAUCAUCCUCCUGAUCACUGUUAUUGGUCAGGGAAGGGCACUGAUCUAAAUCUAUUCAAUCAAAAGCCAUCUGGGACUUUUCCUAGAACUGUUGAGCUCGAGGGGCUGAAUGGAUGAAAGCCUGGAACUGCUAGGAGCUCUCUGGCUCCGUCAUGGAGAGAAUCUGGCUGAAACUGAAACCAACAUGGAGGAGAGGAUAAAAGGUUGAGAGAGACAGAUUUCUGAGGACCUUAUUGAACACUGGGGUCCAGCUUUAUCUGAAACCAGCCCAAACCUAGGUUUUUCAUUUACGUAAUUUUUGAAAAGUCCUUUUAAUUAAAUAAAGCAAUUAAGAUGAAGCAUCUAUCCCAGUGAGUGGCACACAGUAAGUCCCCAACAUAUGCUAUUAUUAUCUUUGAAAACUAAUUUGUUAGGUUUCUAUCAUUUGCAAGUGCAAUAAUAAUAACAAAAGAAAAUAAUUCCAAAGAUUUCUGGGAAUUGUGCAAGGCACUUUAUGUAUUAUUUCACUAAAUCCUCACUUCAUGCCCUGACAUAAGGAUUCUUAGUCCCUUUUUAAUGACUUAAAAAGGAACCGAGGCUUCAAGAAGCUGAAGAAAGCUGGUCAGCUGGUCAGAGCCGCAGAGCUAAAGAUUUCAACCUUCGCAGUUUGAGUCCGGAAGCCAAGUUCCAAAUCACUUAAAAACUGUUUGUGAUUUAAAAAGAAUUAAAGGUAUAGGUACUUAAUCAAAAGCAGCCAGAAAAUCACCUGUGACAUUGUCCUUAGUCAAGAAAGACGUCUGUGUGUUUAGAAUCUAAGCUUCAUGAACGGCUUAUGAAGUUGGAAGCUGUUCUGAUUCUCCCAGUAGCACGCCAUCGUGCCUUCACACCAGAUUUUACAAUCAAAUGCCCAACUUUGCUUUGCAGAAUUCUUCAUGUUGAUUUCUUUGAAAACUGCCAGUUAAAACAAUGAGCGGAGUAGCUGAACAAUCGAAGCUGGUGGGAUGAGGAAGACCGGAUUUCCAGGACGAUGCCUCGCUCGUUGAGAAGAUAUGUUACCCAGCUUUCUCUUGCUCCUGAAGACCUGGAAUUUCCCCUCCUAGAGAAAUAUGAACAGCAUGUUUCAAAAUAUGCACUCUUUACCAUUUAAUGAAAAUGAUUCCAUCAAAAUGUUACAAAUUGAAUUAAAUUACUACCCAUUUUUCUUUUUAAACAUGCUUAAUAAUAAAUAAGUUUAUCCAAAGUGAUGUUAUCAUUAUAGAUUCAUUUUCACCCCAUUUCUUUAUAGCACCUUUGUCACAAUCUUCUCAUUAAUAGGCACUCAUGCUUUUCUACAUCGUUGCUAAAGAAAGAAAAAGAAAAAUAUGAAAAUACUGUCAUCAGCAUCUAACUGAAACUUCUCUGGGGAAAGGUAUUUUUAAAAAAGUAUAAUUAUAUUGCUUUUAAUGUCUAAUGAUAAUUCCUUUUAUUUACAGCCAGGCUGCCUCUGGGAAAUUAGUUAUGGAGACACCAAAAUGGCAAUAAAAUUCUGAUUUACUUUUACACAUUUUCAGCCAGUGCGCAACACUCCAAUGGGAUAAAAAAAAGUAUUGUAAAUAUUGUAAAAUGGAUAUUACCCAUUUUACAAGCAAGGAAUCGUAGGCUUAGAAGGGUUUAAGUAAGCUCACAUGCUCACAGCUAGUAAAUGAAAGGGUAUCAACCUGGAUGAUGCUAAUAUGCAUGCUUGUAACUUUUACUUUUUCUCUUCUAAGGAGAAUUCAUUCAAGACUUGGGAAUUACAGAAAUAGCCCACAGAGGAUAAUUCACAUCUGCUCCAAGAGUCAUUACUUCCAGAGCCUGGAGCCCCGAACUCAUCUUCAGGGAUCUUAACUGCUUCUCAGGAGACCCUUGCAAGUCAGGGAUCAACUGAAGCCACCCAUGGAGGAAUGAGUCUUCCUAAAAGUGGGAGUAAAGUCUUCCCCAGUGUGGUAUAGUUCCCAGGGUGCCUAAGUCCUACCUUAGCACCUCACCCAACACACACUGUGGUCUGACGCAAAUGGCCAGGACUGGACUGUUGCAGCUGAACCAGGCCAGGUUCCCAGUGGGGGCUGCUCGCUCUGUGUGUGAAGCCAUCACCCUGUGCAUAGCUCUCUACCAAGCCCAGGACAGUCUUUCUUCUAACCCGAUGUGAAGGAAACCUGCCUUGGCCAACACUCAUAAUCUCCAUGAGAAACACAUAGACAGCGCUAAUACUUUUUUCUGACAUAGGAUACUUUCAAUUUAGCUUUAGGAGAAAAGAAACUCUCUCCCGCCCUUCUGUUGCAUCCUCACUUUAUGGGACUAACCAGAACAUAGACAGCUUGCAUCAUCUGCCUUUGGGUGACUUCCCAGAUUUGAAUAUUGGCUCACAAGUCUUGACUAGCAGUGCCCAGCAGAGGGGACCUCCUAGAACAAAGGGUGACUUUGUUCCCAAGGCAAUCUCCACCCUAGACAGCAAACAUUUUGAAAUCCUGAAACUGACAGUUUCCAACUUCAAAAAAGGUUAACCUCUGCCUGCUCCCAGCGCCCUGUUCCAUAUGGAACACAGCCACACAGAUGCUUAGUGCCAGGCAAGGCAGAAUGGAAAAACCCCUAAGGCUGUGUCUGUCACGCACAAACCAUCUGAUAGAAAUGGAAAGUUGAUUCCAAAAAACUGGUGGUUUCAUGUUGGAGAUCACAAGUACCUGAGGUUCUGUGGAAUUUUCAGUUUUCAUCCAGGGUAGGGGAUGGGUGUUAGAGAGACCCAUGUGGAUGGCUUCUACUUUCCAGAAGUGGUCAGCAGUCCCAUGCAUGAAAGUGUUCCCCCUGACCUUCCAUGGCACUUUGUCUGAACUUCCAGGGUCACUGCCUACCUUCUACUUCAUCCUUAUUUUGGAUGAUAGUACAGCAUAGAGGAAAGAACCAGGCUUCAGGUCUCAGAGAUCGAGGAGGAAUCUCCAUUCUUAUAUGGGUUUUUUUUUGAGGAAGAUUAGCCCUGAACUAACAUCUGCUGCCAAUCCUCCUCUUUUUGCUGAGGAAGACUGACCCUGAGCUAGCAUCUGUGCCCAUCUUCCUCUACUUUAUAUGUGGGACACCUACCACAGCAUGGCUUGCCAAGCGGUGCCAUGUCCAUACCUGGGAUCCGAACCGACAAACCCUGGGCCACAGAAGCAGAACGUGUGAACUUAACCGCUGCGCCACCGGGCCGGCCCCUCCAUUCUGCUUCUUACUAGCUGUGUCAUCUUGAGCAAGUAGCUUUAACAUCCAGAUCCUCAGUUGCCUCAUCUAUUAUUUACAUUUUGAUGAUGGUGAAGAAUAAAUGAGACAAUAUAUGCAGAAUAUUUAGCACACACCUGGCGCGUGGUGGGUGCCCUAGAAAUAGUAUCUUCUCUAUCUGCACUCAGCUUUUAGAGAGCAGGAUUCAUGUUUUAUUAUAUCCACCCCCUUCUCC
Molecule: long non-coding RNA, 4184 nt
Filed under: Equus caballus (horse)
Lineage: Eukaryota; Metazoa; Chordata; Mammalia; Perissodactyla; Equidae
Description: lncRNA (ENSECAG00000055400.1)
Source: RNAcentral